AUUUCAUCCUAUUUACUUCAGACCAUUUCUCCAGUUUGUCCAGAUCAUUUUGAAUUUUAAUCCUAUCCUCCAAAGCACUUGUAACCCCUCCCAGCUUGGUACCGUCCGCAAACAUGAUAAGUGUAACAGAGAGAUUCUGUUACUGGGAGGGUUUCACCAUGUCUCAGAGGGUUACACCCUGGUGGGAGGAGGCUAGGCCUGAACUGGAAUAAGGUCACUCUGUUCUUCACAGUGUGGCAGAACCUAGAAUCUCCAUUAGCAAGAAAAAAUCUGGCGGGAAUCACCUUGUGGAAUGGACAAAAGCCCUUCUGAAUUCUCUCACAUUGCCCUUCUCGCCCUGGCAGGCUAUAGAAUAACGUCCACGUUUUGCUCCAGAUCAUCCCGUCCUCCCAGGGGAAGGAAAUGGCUGCACUGGAGCUGUCUCAGGUGUUUCCAGGAGUUCUCUUGUGUGAGGAAUGAGGCCAAGAGAUGAUGUCACACCUCACCUUAUGUAGCUUUUCCACAUGGCGGGAACCCUUUGUUGCAAACUCAGUUUCCAGUCCAGUUUGCGGAAAAAUACAGGGGCCAGUGACUUUCGAGGAAGUGGCUGUGUAUUUCACCAGGGAAGAGGGGGCUCUCCUGGACCCCACUCAGAGAGCCCUCUACAAGGAUGUCAUGCAGGAGAACCAUGGGAUGGUGGUAUUGCUGGGAAGAACUGGGCUCGCAGAUGCAGGGAGCUCUACCGGAGCAAAGACAAAUGGACAGGCACAGUGAAAGAAAACCAAGCCAUUUUCUACAGCAGCAUGGCUCAAGAGCAUUGGCCAGUAUGUACUAUAUUGUCUUCUUUGCUUCCCUGUCCUAAUCUAAGGACUUUCCAAUGAUGUGUUUCAGUUGACUAAUAAACCCUGCUAUGUUUUAAAAGUCUGCCCAGUGUCACAGCAAAAACUUGCUCUGUGCAUUGAAUGAGGAACAGUCUAUGAACAGGAGUGUCGUUCAUCUGGACCUGCUGGCAGAGCUCACAGGUUGAAAUAGGAGUGUUGAAGCCAGAGGCUCAAUCUCAGGUGUUGAAGCUACUCGGCCUAUCCUUGUGGAAGAGUGGGACCCCUUGCGGGUCUAGCACGCUCAAGGGGCACCUCCCAAGGAUUAAAAGCCAGGGCAUUGCACAGAUCUUAUGGAUCCGUGCCAGUGUGCCUUAUGGGGAAAACAUAUAAAAUAAGAAAAGGAUCUAAAUGUGUAUUUACCAUCACCCCCUCAUCAGUCCUCAUGGGAAUACCUCAUCAGUUACAAAGGCCUGGACUACACUAGGAGUUUAUCUCGAAUUUAGCAGCGUUAAACCGAAUUAACCCUGCACCC
Chrysemys picta bellii (western painted turtle) is the source of this 1332-nucleotide non-coding RNA. NCBI's taxonomy places the organism in Eukaryota, Metazoa, Chordata, Testudines, Emydidae. The record is from RefSeq and is a predicted model, not a curated record.